This 361-nucleotide RNase P RNA is filed under the name marine eukaryotic metagenome. RNAcentral's name for it is "Bacterial RNase P class A". It matches the Rfam family "Bacterial RNase P class A". From Rfam's summary of the family: Ribonuclease P (RNase P) is a ubiquitous endoribonuclease, found in archaea, bacteria and eukarya as well as chloroplasts and mitochondria. Its best characterised activity is the generation of mature 5'-ends of tRNAs by cleaving the 5'-leader elements of precursor-tRNAs. The record is from RNAcentral.
GGUCGCGAGCGGGUGCUUCGGUGCGCCGUUCGAGGAAAGUCCGGGCUCCAUCAGGGCACGGUGCCGGGUAACCCCCGGGCGCUGAAAGGCGAUGGAAAGUGCCACAGAGAGUAGACCGCCGAUGGCGGCUUCGGUCGCACAGGCAAGGGUGAAAGGGUGGGGUAAGAGCCCACCGCGUCUUAGGGUAACCGAGACGGCAUGGUAAACCCCGCCGGGAGCAAGGCCAAAUAGGAGCGAUGUGGUGGCCCGCCGCAGUGAGCUCCGGGUAGGCUGCAUGAGACCGCGGGAGACCGACGGUCCUAGAUAGAUGACCUCACUGGCGAGUUAGUUCGUCGGGACAGAACCCGGCUUAUCUCCCUCC